AAUAGAUACCCCGGUAGUCCACGCUGUAAACGAUGGAUACUAGGUGUGGGAGGUAUCGACCCCUUCCGUGCCGCAGUAAACGCAAUAAGUAUCCCGCCUGGGGAGUACGGCCGCAAGGUUGAAACUCAAAGGAAUUGACGGGGGCCCGCACAAGCAGCGGAGCAUGUGGUUUAAUUCGAAGCAACGCGAAGAACCUUACCAGAGCUUGACAUCUCCUGCAUAGUCCGUAAUGGGAUGAAAUCCUUCGGGACAGGAAGACAGGUGGUGCAUGGUUGUCGUCAGCUCGUGUCGUGAGAUGUUGGGUUAAGUCCCGCAACGAGCGCAACCCUUAUACUUAGUUGCCAGCAGUAAGAUGGGCACUCUAAGUAGACUGCCGGAGACAAUUCGGAGGAAGGUGGGGAUGACGUCAAAUCAUCAUGCCCCUUAUGUUCUGGGCUACACACGUGCUACAAUGGGUAUAACAACGGGAAGCGAGCCAGUGAUGGUAAGCAGAUCCCUAAAAAGUACUCCCAGUUCAGAUUGUUCUCUG
This 529-nucleotide ribosomal RNA is filed under the name uncultured bacterium. RNAcentral's name for it is "bacterial SSU rRNA". It matches the Rfam family "Bacterial small subunit ribosomal RNA", at positions 777 to 1307 of the family's 1533-position model. The record is from RNAcentral.